RNAcentral lists this ribosomal RNA (253 nucleotides) under uncultured bacterium. RNAcentral's name for it is "partial 16S ribosomal RNA". It matches the Rfam family "Bacterial small subunit ribosomal RNA", at positions 524 to 776 of the family's 1533-position model. The record is from RNAcentral.
UACGAAGGGGGCUAGCGUUGCUCGGAAUCACUGGGCGUAAAGGGUGCGUAGGCGGGUCUUUAAGUCAGGGGUGAAAUCCUGGAGCUCAACUCCAGAACUGCCUUUGAUACUGGAAAGCUUGAGUUCGGGAGAGGUGAGUGGAACUGCGAGUGUAGAGGUGAAAUUCGUAGAUAUUCGCAAGAACACCAGUGGCGAAGGCGGCUCACUGGCCCGAUACUGACGCUGAGGUGCGAAAGCGUGGGGAGCAAACAGG